Molecule: long non-coding RNA, 168 nt
Organism: Choloepus didactylus (southern two-toed sloth)
Lineage: Eukaryota; Metazoa; Chordata; Mammalia; Pilosa; Megalonychidae
Exons: 3
Source: RefSeq, a predicted model, not a curated record
GCUCCCCAGAAGCAGCUGAUGGUGGCAGUUACCAGUGACUAAGAGGAUGAGGAGACCCCACCUAAUGAAGAGGUGCAGCCUGGACCAAGUGAAAAUGAAACCCCUGAAUGCCUGUUAGAGGAGCCUCAUGGUGACAUGGCAGAUGAGGACAUUCCAUCUAAUUCCAUG